RNAcentral lists this small nucleolar RNA (129 nucleotides) under Cuculus canorus (common cuckoo). The record is from RNAcentral. Lineage: Eukaryota; Metazoa; Chordata; Aves; Cuculiformes; Cuculidae.
UUGCACUGUUCGUAACCUGCUAACAGUAUCUUUCUGAUAAUGGGUUCCAUUCCAGUGCUACAUAAUACCCCAAGGUAACAGAAGGCUGGCUGUUUGUUUGCUUGUCUCUUUUUAUUUUGGGGGACAUAA